GACGAACCGUGCGAACGUUGUUCGGAUUCACUGGGCUUAAAGGGCGCGUAGGCGGCUUGCCAAGUCAGGGGUGAAAUCUUUCGGCUCAACCGGAAAAGUGCUUCUGAUACUGGCGGGCUGGAGGGAGGUAGGGGCGGAUGGAACUUCCGGUGGAGCGGUGAAAUGCGUAGAUAUCGGAAGGAACGCCGGUGGCGAAAGCGAUCCGCUGGACCUCUUCUGACGCUGAGGCACGAAAGCUAGGGGAGCAAACAGG
Molecule: ribosomal RNA, 253 nt
Filed under: uncultured bacterium
Lineage: Bacteria
Description: partial 16S ribosomal RNA
Rfam family: Bacterial small subunit ribosomal RNA
Source: RNAcentral